Non-coding RNA from Paramuricea clavata, 246 nucleotides. The record is from the annotation of a GenBank genome assembly. NCBI's taxonomy places the organism in Eukaryota, Metazoa, Cnidaria, Anthozoa, Malacalcyonacea, Plexauridae.
GUGAGCCAUGAGCAGGUGACUGAAGCAACACAAAGUGUCGCCAAACCCCAGUAAGGUCUAUAUUCUAGGGGUGGAGCACUAGAGCCGCGAGUGGGAGUCUAGAGAGCAGAAAACAAAGUAUCCCUGAAAAAAAUAAUGAUUUCUAGCUUCGAAAAAACGUUUUUUAAGUUGCAGGCUUUCUGGCAUCCUUGUGUAGAAAAGUAGGACAAAAGUAGGACUAGAAUUUUAGGAAAAGUAGGAAUAAAG